GGGUUUAGAACGUCGUGAGACAGUUCGGUCCCUAUCUGCCGUGGGCGUUGGAAGAUUGAGAGGGGUUGCUCCUAGUACGAGAGGACCGGAGUGAACGCACCACUGGUGUUCGGGUUGUCAUGCCAAUGGCAUUGCCCGGUAGCUAAGUGCGGAAGAGAUAACCGCUGAAAGCAUCUAAGCGGGAAACUUGCCUCGAGAUGAGUCUUCCCUGUCGCUUUAAGCGACCUAAAGGAACGUUUAAGACUAAGACGUUGAUAGGCUGGGUGUGUAAGCGUAGCGAUACGUUGAGCUAACCAGUACUAAUGAACCGUGAGGCUUAACCUG
RNAcentral lists this ribosomal RNA (324 nucleotides) under Proteus mirabilis. RNAcentral's name for it is "partial 23S ribosomal RNA". It matches the Rfam family "Bacterial large subunit ribosomal RNA", at positions 2607 to 2925 of the family's 2925-position model. Lineage: Bacteria; Pseudomonadati; Pseudomonadota; Gammaproteobacteria; Enterobacterales; Morganellaceae. The record is from RNAcentral.